This 534-nucleotide ribosomal RNA is filed under the name Cambarellus blacki. RNAcentral's name for it is "eukaryotic LSU rRNA". Lineage: Eukaryota; Metazoa; Arthropoda; Malacostraca; Decapoda; Cambaridae. The record is from RNAcentral.
UCAGCUCGUCGGCUGUCGGCUGGGUGGGGACGUAACAAAGCGACCCAGGAAUGCUUGGGCGUGCCUCCACCCACGCCGGCGUCGGCGGGCGUAUUUCGCCUCACAGUAGGUCGCCGCGACCCGUUGCUUUCGGGGACGUCUAAGGCCCGGACGGAUUGGUACCCUACCGGCUGGGGAUGCGGCUUCGGCUUCUCCUCUUGUCCGGUGGGCGAAACCGCCGGUGUCCUGGCUGCCCUGCGACGGUCGUAGAGACGAGCCCUCGCCCAUUCGUGGGGGGGCGGCUCUCGCGGCGUGCAAAAGGUCGGUGAUCCACCCGACCCGUCUUGAAACACGGACCAAGGAGUCUAACAUGUGUGCGAGUCAGUGGGCGCACUAAACCCAGAGGCGUAAUGAAAGUGACACGGGUUCGGCUGUCGCCUCGUGUGGCAGCCGGACUCAGGGCCGAUCCCUCACCGGUUGGCCUCGCCUCUCUUCCGCGUCUCGGUAAGCCGGGUGAGCUAUUUUCCCCGGCCGCUGCUGCGGGGCUCGGGGGGA